This 433-nucleotide ribosomal RNA is filed under the name uncultured bacterium. Its description in RNAcentral is "bacterial SSU rRNA". It matches the Rfam family "Bacterial small subunit ribosomal RNA", at positions 26 to 507 of the family's 1533-position model. The record is from RNAcentral.
AGAACGAACGCUGGCGGCAGGCCUAACACAUGCAAGUCGAGCGCCCCGCAAGGGGAGCGGCAGACGGGUGAGUAACGCGUGGGAAACUACCCUUUGGUACGGAACAACUCGGCGAAAGCUGAGCUAAUACCGUAUGUGUCCUUCGGGAGAAAGAUUUAUCGCCAAAGGAUGUGCCCGCGUCGGAUUAGCUAGUUGGUGGGGUAAACGGCCCACCAAGGCGACGAUCCGUAGCUGGUCUGAGAGGAUGAUCAGCCACACUGGGACUGAGACACGGCCCAGACUCCUACGGGAGGCAGCAGUGGGGAAUAUUGGACAAUGGGGCAACCCUGAUCCAGCCAUGCCGCGUGAGUGAUGAAGGCCUUAGGGUUGUAAAGCUCUUUCGCCCGCGAAGAUAAUGACUGUAGCGGGAGAAGAAGCCCCGGCUAACUUCGUG